RNAcentral lists this long non-coding RNA (317 nucleotides) under Fukomys damarensis (Damara mole-rat). Its description in RNAcentral is "lncRNA (ENSFDAG00000029607.1)". The record is from RNAcentral. Lineage: Eukaryota; Metazoa; Chordata; Mammalia; Rodentia; Bathyergidae.
CUCGACAGAAAGAAAUCUCACGAGGACAACAGGCUUGCUCAGAUGAAAGGACAAGUGGAUCUUAGGAAUAAGUGUCAUGUCCACUUUGCGGCAGAGCCAGAAGGUACCAGGUCCAGUAAAUAAGGUGGACAAGCACACAGUACCAUGUUUUUACAAGGCCACCCUUCUGCUGGGUGGCCCUCAGCAGCAGCAUUCAGCACACUUCACAGAGACGCUCCAGAAGACUUCCAGAACUGCCUUGAUGAGUGGCAAGAAAAAUGGGUUAAGUGUUUUAAAAUAUUUGGUCAGCAGAAGGUGGAAAGACACUGAGAAGACAG